This 231-nucleotide long non-coding RNA is filed under the name Brassica rapa (field mustard). RNAcentral describes it as "long non-coding RNA (BRAP_LNC008829)". The record is from RNAcentral. Lineage: Eukaryota; Viridiplantae; Streptophyta; Magnoliopsida; Brassicales; Brassicaceae.
AGAAUAUUUGUGGAUAGAUAAGUAUUUUUUUAAGAACUUUUCAUCGAUAUGUUGUAUUUUAAAAUAAUUUUCUUAAAUACUCCUAUUUUAGGAAAGGUUUCAUUUUCUUAAGAAAUAUUGUAGAUUUGGGUUUUGUGAUUUUGAAAUUAGGAUAACAAGAAUAUUUGUGGAUAGAUGAUUAUUCUUUAAGAAUUUUUCAUCAAUAUGUUGAAUUUUAAAAUAAUUUUCUUA